Molecule: long non-coding RNA, 480 nt
Organism: Malaclemys terrapin pileata
Lineage: Eukaryota; Metazoa; Chordata; Testudines; Emydidae
Exons: 2
Source: RefSeq, a predicted model, not a curated record
UCGAGGUCUGCGCCUAUGAACUGAAGGUGCUGGGUGGGGCGUAAUGUGGAUUUGUCUCUGUUUAUUUGUAGGCCGAGAGAAAGAAAGCACUCGACUGUGAGUCGUGUGAACCGGAGCGCCUCGUCGAAUGUUGAAGCUUUGAGGAGGCAAUCGUCGAGGUGUCUGGAGACCUAAAGACCGGAGGGUUGUUCUGGAGUCUUUCAUUGAAUGAAGCACUUCAUUCGUGUUAGCAGCAAAGAGUUUGUCACCGUCGAAGGGAAGAUCUUCAAUUGUGUUCUGAACUUCGCGAGGAAAAAAGGAAGAGGAGAGCCAUGAGCCCCGUCGCAUGACUAUCGCUUAGCGGUAGAUCUUGCCGCUGUGUUGGCUACAUCGAGGGCUGCUUGGAGAGCGGUGCGUGAAAUGGCUUGGCCCUCAGAAACUAUAGCUCUGAACUGUUGUUUUCUUUGUUCUGGAAUGUCAUCAAUAAAGUCCAUUAACUUA